UGUCCUCGCGUGCGCAGGAAACGCAGCAACUGUGGAGGCACUAGAAAGCCCACCCGAAGGGACUUUGCGAUCCUGGCUCAUCCCCAGGACUUGGAUGCACUCAGCUCUUGGUAUGUCUGGCAAAGGUAGAUGGAGGAUCUGAGGGUCGGAAGUGAUGGCUCGUACUAGCUAAACCCACCAUUGCCUUUUGCUUUUAAAAGAUUCAGACAGGAGCUUUUCUGACCCCAGAAGGUGAGAGUUGGAGUCUCUGUUUGCUGAUGUCCUUCCACCAUCUUGAGGCUGGACCUCUCGUAGUAUCGGUUACACACAUACCUUACGGGACAGGCCGUGCUCUGCAGCUGCUCGGCAGGACACAGGUGGUCUCGGCUGCUCUCUGUGAGCUUUAUUUGCACAUUCCUCGGCAGCAGCCGGAGGAGCUGUUGUAAUUUGGUUCAUCCCUGAAAGCACUGCCUGCCUGUUAUGUGUCCUCUAGUGAAACACCCCAAGUUCGCCGGUUCCCAGAGAACAGGCUCUGUGUCCGUUCUCCUGCAGAGCCAGCGUUCCUCCUCUUCCUUCAUCCACCUGUGUUUCCAGCACAUCCAGGUAACGAACCCCUCUGUCUUGGAGUGCCCAAUCUGCUGAGGGUCUCCCUGAGUUUGGCUUUAGUCCUUGCCUCUCUACUGCCUCCCCACCCUGCCAGACGAUGCCUGUGCUUGGUGUUGUGCUUUCCUGAGCCUCGUGAGUGGAGCGGGCCAUAAGGAUGCCAGCGUUGGCACUGCCCUGCUGAGUGCUCCAGAGGUGUGUGCAGCUGCUCGGCCUGAGCCUUGGCUCUCACUUGUGCGAUGGUGAGGGUAGAUAGCAGGGAGGAGGCAGGCUCCAAGGUGCCCGUGGCCUUGCAGUGGGUGGUGGUAGUCACACACUAUGUCCCUCCACUCCUUUGCUGAACCCAAGCAGAUUAGUCCGAUGCCCUGCUAGAUUGAGACCUGUAAUUUCUUGAAUACAAAGCACCAUGUGCUAUUCCUCCUUCUCUCUAGCUGCAAAGCAGGAUGCUUUUCCUUACAUGCCCCCUGUUCCCUGACCCUAGGCUGGAAGUUGCUGGUGGCAUGAGCAGCAGGGGCCAGCGCCCUGCCUCUCCCAGUAGGAUUGCUCCAGCCCUGGGGCCUGGUCUGUGUCCUGCUUUGUCUCCUGUCCCAGGGUUCCCAUGUAACUCAGUGAUAUCCCAGCACAUCUGGCAGCAGCCUCUCUCUGCCCAGCUGUGGGCCCCUGUGGGCUGGUCCGAGCUGGUCUCUGUUCUGAGCAUGAGGGUCUCGUUUGAUCACGGGAUAAAUGUCUUCUGCCAUAGCCAGGCUGUGCAUCUCUGUUCCCCUCUCUGCCAGCCUCCAUGCCUGUCUCCUCCCUUCUGUCACAUACCCAUGGCCACCUUCCCUUUUCCCUGUUGUGCAGGGAUGACUCAGCCCCUGGUGCUCCUGGAGGCUUGUAGUGCAGAGAGGCCCCUUCAGCCCAGCUGCAGCUAUGGUCCCUGCACAGCAGCAGCAUCCUGCUUCAAAUCGGCUUGCGCAGUGGAGCUCCCACGCGGGCGCUGCCUCCCUCUGCACACCCCUUCCCUUGGCAGUGAGCGCUGCACCGCUGCUCUGUGCCUUGUCCUGGGUACCCCUUCCUUCAGCCCCUCCCCAAUAAACCCUGUAUCACCAGGGCAUUCCCAGCGAAGAAAAAUUUGGGGGGUUAGUUUAACCUUCCCAACCCCGGCUGCCUCCCAGGAGCUUGGUCUUGUGACGUAUCUAGUUCUGGCAGGUAAGGAAGAAUGUGCACUCCCACACCAAGUUCCUCUAGUAAGGACUUAAUGGAGCCAGUGUUUCAGUUAGGAAACCCACUGUUGAUCCAAAUAUGCAACUGUGAAAGCCAGAAGUCCCUGGCUGGGGGCAGCUGGGGCCCAGCCCUGUGCUGCUGCGCAGCCACGGCUUCACUCUCAGCUUUGUCGUCUUUAUCGUAGUUGCCAAUAAUUGGAGUUGUUGCAUGUGCCCCUGCAAAACCCAACAGCGACUCUUUGAGUCUUCUCCUCCUUCCCGGAGGAGAUGUUCUGCUCGUGGACGUGGGAAAUCAGUGUCUCUAACCCACUACGUUCCAGUGUCAUGGGGAAACGGGCUGUGCAAUUAUGUAAAUAAAAGUGAGACAAACU
This is a long non-coding RNA of Pygoscelis adeliae (Adelie penguin), 2155 nucleotides long. RefSeq lists it as uncharacterized. The record is from RefSeq and is a predicted model, not a curated record. NCBI's taxonomy places the organism in Eukaryota, Metazoa, Chordata, Aves, Sphenisciformes, Spheniscidae. The transcript is spliced from 2 exons.